GAAAUCAGUUCAGCACUAAGUCACUUUGUCUAUAUGGCAAAUGUGAGAUGCAGUGUAUGGAACAUCAAUAUUCUAGUAUGAGAAAUUAACGAUUUAAGUCCUUCUUAAAUGAGGCCAUUUACCCAUAGAGGGUGCCAGGCCCGUAUAACGUUAAUGAUUAUUAGAUGGUGUUUCCAAAGAGUCGUGUUGCUUGAUAGUGCAGCACUAAGUGGGUGGUAAACUCCAUCUAAAACUAAAUAUAACCAUGAGACCGAUAGUAAACAAGUACCGUGAGGGAAAGUUGAAAAGAACUCUGAAUAGAGAGUUAAAUAGUACGUGAAACUGCUUAGAGGUUAAGCCCGAUGAACCUGAAUAUCCGUUAUGGAAAAUUCAUCAUUAGACUUGUAAUAUUUAAACAAUAUUAUGAUAAUAGUGUGCAUUUUUUCCAUAUAAGGACAUUGUAAUCUAUUAGUUAAAAAUAAUUUAUCAAAAAAUUUUAGAUAAAAGUUUAUUUAAAUUAAAGUGCUUGCAUUUUAACAUAAAAUAAAUGUCUUUAAUUUGGUAAAGUGCUGAUAGAUUUAUAUGAAUACAGUGCGUUAAUUUUUCGGAAUUAUAUAAUGGCAUGAUUAUCAUUGGUUUUUGUGUUUAUUAUAUGCACUUGUAUGAUUAACAAUGCGAAAGA
Molecule: ribosomal RNA, 661 nt
Filed under: Drosophila parthenogenetica
Lineage: Eukaryota; Metazoa; Arthropoda; Insecta; Diptera; Drosophilidae
Description: eukaryotic LSU rRNA
Rfam family: Eukaryotic large subunit ribosomal RNA
Source: RNAcentral